RNAcentral lists this long non-coding RNA (189 nucleotides) under Canis lupus familiaris (dog). RNAcentral describes it as "lncRNA (ENSCAFG00000041777.2)". Lineage: Eukaryota; Metazoa; Chordata; Mammalia; Carnivora; Canidae. The record is from RNAcentral.
AUGAACCCUCUCAUCAAACUACAACAGAAUUAUCCCCCUAGAACCCAGCUGGCAGAGGGGUCUGGGGAAUGCACUAUUCUGAAUCCCCACCUCUGCACCCUACAGAAAAAGAGGAGAGUGAGUUUAAGAAUAAGAAACAAUGCAAUUUAUCUCCCUUCUUCUAGAGCAAAUAUUAAAACAAUCUUCUGA